GAUGAACGCUGGCGGCGUGCCUAAUACAUGCAAGUCGAGCGAACGGACGAGAAGUUUGCUUGUCUGAUGUUAGCGGCGGACGGGAGAGUCACAUGUGUAUAACCUACCUAUAAGACUGGGAUAAUUUCGGGAAACCGGAUCUUAUACCGGAUAAUAUUCUGAACCGCGUUGUUCCAAAGUGAGAUUCGGUCUUUGUGUCAGUAAUAGAUGGAUCCGCGCUGGAUUAGCUAGUUGGUAAGGUAACGGCUUACCAAGGCAACGAUGCAUAGCCGACCUGAGAGGGUGGUCGGCCACACUGGAAGUGAGACACGGUCCAGACUCCUACGGUAGGCAGCAGUAGGGAAUCUUACGCAAUGGGGGAGAGCCUGACGGAGCAACGCCGCGUGAGUGAUGAAGGUCUUCGGAUCGUAAAACUCUGUUAUUAGGGGAGAACAUAUGUGUAAGUAACCGUGCACAUCUUGACGGUACCUAAUCAGAAAGCCACGGCUAACUACGUG
RNAcentral lists this ribosomal RNA (497 nucleotides) under uncultured bacterium. RNAcentral's name for it is "partial 16S ribosomal RNA". It matches the Rfam family "Bacterial small subunit ribosomal RNA", at positions 28 to 507 of the family's 1533-position model. The record is from RNAcentral.